Long non-coding RNA from Vidua chalybeata, 1916 nucleotides. RefSeq lists it as uncharacterized. The record is from RefSeq and is a predicted model, not a curated record. The transcript is spliced from 4 exons. Lineage: Eukaryota; Metazoa; Chordata; Aves; Passeriformes; Viduidae.
AGGUUAGCUGAGGACAUUCCCAAGCCAAAGGCCACCUGAUCUCAGGUACCAUAAGUUUUGGGUCCCGGUAGUUGAAGGAACAGUGCACACUCAGAGCCAAAGACUGAUUACUUCCCCACAGAAAAUUUACCAAGUCAGAAAAUAAUGUAGGAAAAAAGUCUCACAACAGCCCUACAAAGUGAGAGCUGAGAAGUCUCUGGGCUCUGGUUUGCUCAUGCUUGCAGAAGAAAUAUUUUUGACCUGAAGCUGUGAAGUCAAAUGUGUUUGCUACAAGACCACUGCAACAACAGGAAAUCACCACUGACAGGAUGCCUGGUUAGAAGCGAAACCUCAGCCCUGUGUGACCCUUGUCCUGCUUUGGAGAAGAGCAGUGACAGUUUGCUGAGUCUGGAAACACAUUUCUCUUAUCUCCAGGGCGAGCACAGUGACUGUUGCCUGCUUCCACCAUGAAGGACUAUCAGUGCUGUUCCGUCUUGGUUACAGACAUGACUAAUCCCUCUUACUGCUUUUUCUUUUUUUUCCCCAGAACUGCCAAUUGAGCUUUUUCUAUGAUCCUUCUCUAAUAUGUUUAAAUCAAAUGGAAGUAGGUGACUAUAAACUAGCCCUACUAGCAGGUAUACUCAGUGCAGCAGAAAUGUGUUACAGAGAAAUUGUGAGUCAGGUGGAAAAGCAGCAUAGAGCUUCAGACAGGAGGGAAUUUACAUGUACUGGAGACAGAUAUUUGCCUUGGCUUCCUGUUCACUUUAUAUCUGAUUCCCUCUUCAGCCCUUUGUGGGGUGAUCAAAACUGUGAAGACUGCUACUGUUGCUUUCCUCAGCAAACCAGCCCUUCAGAGCAGGAGCAAUUCCAUUCCAUGAGUCUGUACCUUCUCCAUGGAACUGGGGUUUUCCAACAUGUUUGUAACAGCAAAGCAACUGUUCCAGGAGUGUGUAUACUCUUUUUAAAAAAUAAUCUGAUUUUUGUGUCUAUUUUACUUGUUCUUUAGAAAUCAUGUGGAUUUCAUAGAUGAGAGUGUAUGAUUGAUCAUAAACUAAUAUUUUUUUUUGCUUUGGACAAAUAUUUAGUCCUCUUUUUUCCCUUGUCAAAUUUUCAUUUCAUUUUUGACAGGUUUGUUGUUUCUUUUAAAUCUUCAUCUAAUUCUAAAAUAAAUAGUUGCUUUUUUGGUGAAUUUAACCUGAUUUGUAUUAUGUCUAUAAUUCAAAUUUAUUUUCUUAUUUUCUAAGGCAUAGGCUAUUUUAGCAACUGCUGUAGUUAAUUGAUACUUGGUGUUCCUCCUCCUUAUCUAUAUUUCACUCUUACCUCUGAAGGUAUGCAAUGUAUCUACAUAUAUAUAAUAUAAUUUUUGUUCAGUACUAUAUGUAUAUAUUCUAAGUUUUUAAGAACAAACAAUUAAUUUGAAGAUUACAACUCUAAUGUUAGAGGGAUGUAUCACAGCUCUGUUUUGAAGCUGACGGGUCUCUCUGCUUCUGAGACAUUCCAAUUCUUCUUGUGAUAGACGCAGUGAAAUAAAUGGUUUGUGCCAUCUACUGGUGCCGGUGGGAGCUGCGCGUCAGCUCGGAACCGGGACGGACUCAAGCGUGCAGUGUGGGAAAAGAGGAAACCUCUCUGGAGAUAAAGACAUAAAAUAAUAAACAGCAAUCUAGUUAAGUGCUAACUAAUAUUAAACAUGUGCUAAUUAGCUCACGCAUUAACCCAUUUCCCACUCGUGCCUUCCCAAGCGUGCCCUACAACUUCAUCCCCAUUUUUAAGGACUCUGAAAGCAUUUUGUUUUGCAGGUAGGUCAGUGUUGUUUUAACAGAGUGGAACAGUCCAAGCUGAUGGUGUAGAGUGUGCUAUUAAUGUGAACAUGGUUUGUCUAAACCUGUUACUCUUUCUGUAAUCAUUCCUAAUUACAAUGUAUGUCAUGAUCGCUUAUA